AGUUCUUGCUGCAGCCUGUAUUUUAAAAUACCUCUAUAUGUUUUUGGAAAAGAGUAGACUAUACUCCUCCAUCUUUGUUUACAACAUUUAACAGCUGUAAAAUCUCAUGACUUGGCUUUUACAUAGGUGUUAUCUUGCAAUGCAACAUUAAUAAGGCUUUCGGGGAAAUUUACCUUUAUGCAUCUUUAGGUGAAGUGAGAAUUUAAAGUACUUAAGGCUACCUCUGAAGGGACCCAUUAGAAGAAAAGCUUUGUUAAUUACUUUAGGGACUUAGAACUCAAGGACCUAGGUUAAAGAGACUGCUAAAAUCAUAUUGCUAGUCUUUGCUCAGGGAACGUAUUUCGGAAGAAUUAUUAGGGGUGGAUCCUUAGGAGAUGGGAGUUGACAUAGCUCUACUGAAAUCAACAGAGACAUGCUGAUUUCCACCAACUGAGAAUCUGUCUCCAUCUAUUUAUCUUACAAAAGUGUUUCUAACAUCUGUUUUUUUGUUCUGAGGGCCUCACUAAGCUAAAGGAUCAGGUGGUAGAUGGGGGAUACAUGGAGUACCUGCUCCAUUCUUGGGUGAGGUAGCUAACAGUGAGCCAUCAUUGGAAAACUCCAAGAUUCCAGGUGAGAGAUGGAUCUUUUUGAAGUCCCGAGGCUUUGCUGCUGUUGGCUGGAUAUCCCAAAUGUUGUAAGGAGGGUAUAUUUUCUUUAAACUGGUUUGCCUUUGCCCUCACUGUGAGGCAGAGAACACUGAGGAGAAAGAAGAAUUUAAAGACAAGAAGGUGAAAGUUAUGACCAGCCAUAUUCAGAUCCAUACCAUCUUCCUCAUGAUCAAAAUGUUUUGAUUUUUUUUCCAAAAUCCAUCUUGGUGAUUCUCAGACCUUCCAAAACAUAUUGUGAUGUAUACCAGAGGUUCAGAUACAGAG
This is a long non-coding RNA of Gavialis gangeticus (Gharial), 911 nucleotides long. RefSeq lists it as uncharacterized. The record is from RefSeq and is a predicted model, not a curated record. The transcript is spliced from 3 exons. Lineage: Eukaryota; Metazoa; Chordata; Crocodylia; Gavialidae.